This 427-nucleotide ribosomal RNA is filed under the name uncultured Halomonas sp. RNAcentral describes it as "bacterial SSU rRNA". It matches the Rfam family "Bacterial small subunit ribosomal RNA", at positions 355 to 774 of the family's 1533-position model. The record is from RNAcentral. Lineage: Bacteria; Pseudomonadati; Pseudomonadota; Gammaproteobacteria; Oceanospirillales; Halomonadaceae.
UGGGGAAUAUUGGACAAUGGGCGCAAGCCUGAUCCAGCCAUGCCGCGUGAGUGAUGAAGGCCCUCGGGUUGUAAAGCACUUUCAGCGAGGAAGAACGCCUAGGGGUUAAUACCCCCUAGGAAAGACAUCACUCGCAGAAGAAGCACCGGCUAACUCCGUGCCAGCAGCCGCGGUAAUACGGAGGGUGCAAGCGUUAAUCGGAAUUACUGGGCGUAAAGCGCGCGUAGGUGGCUUGAUAAGCCGGUUGUGAAAGCCCCGGGCUCAACCUGGGAACGGCAUCCGGAACUGUCAAGCUAGAGUGCAGGAGAGGAAGGUAGAAUUCCCGGUGUAGCGGUGAAAUGCGUAGAGAUCGGGAGGAAUACCAGUGGCGAAGGCGGCCUUCUGGACUGACACUGACACUGAGGUGCGAAAGCGUGGGUAGCAAACA